UGAAUACGAGACGCUAAGGCGUUGAAGUAGUGUAUGUCAUACUUCCAAGAAAAGCUUGCACUGUCAUAAGUGAAAAAUGCCUGUACCAUAACCGACACAGGUGGGUAGGUAGAGUAUACUAAGGGGCGCGAGAUAACUCUCUCUAAGGAACUCGGCAAAAUAACUCCGUAACUUCGGGAGAAGGAGUGCCUUAUUUAUAAGGUUGCAAUAACAAGAUCCAAGCAACUGUUUAUCAAAAACACAGGUCUCCGCUAAGUCGCAAGACGAUGUAUGGGGGCUGACGCCUGCCCAGUGCCAGAAGGUUAAAGAAGUCGGUUAGCAUUAGCGAAGCUGGUGACUGAAGCCCUGGUGAACGGCGGCCGUAACAAUAACGGUCCUAAGGUAGCGAAAUUCCUUGUCGGGUAAGUUCCGACCCGCACGAAAGGCGUAAUGAUUUGGAUACUGUCUCGGAGAGGGGCUCGGUGAAAUAGACUUGUCUGUGAAGAUGCGGACUACCUGCACCAGGACAGAAAGACCCUAUGAAGCUUUACUGUAACCUGAAAUUGAAAUUGGACUUUAUUCGCGCAGUAUAGGUGGGAAGCGUUGAAAAUAUUCUUGCGGGAAUAUUGGAGCUAUCAGUGAGAUACCACUCUUGUAAUGUUAGAUUUCUAACUUUGAACCAUUAUCUGGUCAGAGAACAGUUUCAGGCGGGCAGUUUGACUGGGGCGGUCGCCUCCCAAACGGUAACGGAGGCGUACAAAGGUUUCCUCUGAACGUGUAGAAAUCGUAUCUAGAGUGUAAAGGCAUAAGGAAGCUUGACUGUGAGACCUACAAGUCGAGCAGGGACGAAAGUCGGUCUUAGUGAUCUGACGGUACUGAGUGGAAAGGCCGUCACUCAACGGAUAAAAGUUACUCUAAGGAUAACAGGCUGAUCUCCCCCAAGAGUUCACAUCGACGGGGAGGUUUGGCACCUCGAUGUCGGCUCAUCGCAUCCUGGGGCGGUAGUACGUCCCAAGGGUUGGGCUGUUCGCCCAUGAAAGCGGUACGCGAGCUGGGUUCAGAACGUCGUGAGACAGUUCGGUCCAUAUCCGGUGUAGGCGUUAGAAUAUUGAGAGGAGCCUUCUUUAGUACGAGAGGACCGAGAAGGACAUACCUAUGGUGUACCAGUUAUCGUGCCAACGGUAAACGCUGGGUAGCUAAGUAUGGAGUGGAUAACCGCUGAAAGCAUCUAAGUGGGAAGCCCACCUCAAGAUGAG
RNAcentral lists this ribosomal RNA (1235 nucleotides) under metagenome. Its description in RNAcentral is "bacterial LSU rRNA". It matches the Rfam family "Bacterial large subunit ribosomal RNA", at positions 1564 to 2808 of the family's 2925-position model. The record is from RNAcentral.